RNAcentral lists this ribosomal RNA (468 nucleotides) under uncultured bacterium. RNAcentral's name for it is "partial 16S ribosomal RNA". It matches the Rfam family "Bacterial small subunit ribosomal RNA", at positions 28 to 507 of the family's 1533-position model. The record is from RNAcentral.
GACGAACGCUGGCGGCGUGCUUAACACAUGCAAGUCGAACGGAAAGGCCCUGCUUUUGUGGGGUGCUCGAGUGGCGAACGGGUGAGUAACACGUGAGUAACCUGCCCUUGACUUUGGGAUAACUUCAGGAAACUGGGGCUAAUACCGGAUAGGAGCUCCUGCUGCAUGGUGGGGGUUGGAAAGUUUCGGCGGUUGGGGAUGGACUCGCGGCUUAUCAGCUUGUUGGUGGGGUAGUGGCUUACCAAGGCUUUGACGGGUAGCCGGCCUGAGAGGGUGACCGGCCACGUUGGAACUGAGAUACGGCCCAGACUCGUACGGGAGGCAGCAGUGGGGAAGAUUGCACAAUGGGCGGAAGCCUGAUGCAGCAACGCCGCGUGCGGGAUGACGGCCUUCGGGUUGUAAACCGCUUUCGCCUGUGACGAGGCGUGAGUGACGGUAAUGGGUAAAGAAGCACCGGCUAACUACGUG